RNAcentral lists this ribosomal RNA (372 nucleotides) under uncultured bacterium. Its description in RNAcentral is "bacterial SSU rRNA". It matches the Rfam family "Bacterial small subunit ribosomal RNA", at positions 527 to 896 of the family's 1533-position model. The record is from RNAcentral.
GGAGGGUGCAAGCGUUGUUCGGAAUUAUUGGGCGUAAGGCGCGUGCAGGCGGUUGCUUAAGUCUGAUGUGAAAGCCCUGGGCUCAACCCGGGAAGUGCAUUGGAAACUGGGCAACUUGAGUACGGGAGAGGAUAGUGGAAUUCCGAGUGUAGGGGUGAAAUCCGUAGAUAUUCGGAGGAACACCGGUGGCGUAAGGCGGCUAUCUGGACCGAUACUGACGCUGAGACGCGAAAGCGUGGGGAGCAAACAGGAUUAGAUACCCUGGUAGUCCACGCCGUAAACGAUGGGUACUAGGUGUUGCGGGUAUUGACCCCUGCAGUGCCGAAGCUAACGCAUUAAGUACCCCGCCUGGGGAGUACGGUCGCAAGACUA